GUGCCGGUGAUAUAAUUGGAGCCUUUCUAGUAUCCCGCUGGCCGGGUGUGCGGGUUCGAGUCCCGUCCGGCACG
RNAcentral lists this transfer RNA (74 nucleotides) under Kiritimatiellia bacterium. RNAcentral's name for it is "Kiritimatiellae bacterium (gut metagenome) tRNA-Pro". The record is from RNAcentral. Lineage: Bacteria; Pseudomonadati; Kiritimatiellota; Kiritimatiellia.